This 495-nucleotide ribosomal RNA is filed under the name uncultured bacterium. Its description in RNAcentral is "partial 16S ribosomal RNA". It matches the Rfam family "Bacterial small subunit ribosomal RNA", at positions 28 to 505 of the family's 1533-position model. The record is from RNAcentral.
GAUGAACGCUGGCGGCGUGCCUAAUACAUGCAAGUCGAGCGAACAGACGAGGAGCUUGCUCCUCUGACGUUAGCGGCGGACGGGUGAGUAACACGUGGAUAACCUACCUAUAAGACUGGGAUAACUUCGGGAAACCGGAGCUAAUACCGGAUAACAUGUUGAACCGCAUGGUUCAACAGUGAAAGACGGUCUUGCUGUCACUUAUAGAUGGAUCCGCGCCGCAUUAGCUAGUUGGUAAGGUAACGGCUUACCAAGGCAACGAUGCGUAGCCGACCUGAGAGGGUGAUCGGCCACACUGGAACUGAGACACGGUCCAGACUCCUACGGGAGGCAGCAGUAGGGAAUCUUCCGCAAUGGGCGAAAGCCUGACGGAGCAACGCCGCGUGAGUGAUGAAGGUCUUCGGAUCGUAAAACUCUGUUAUUAGGGAAGAACAAGUGUGUAAGUAACUAUGCACGUCUUGACGGUACCUAAUCAGAAAGCCACGGCUAACUACG